Molecule: long non-coding RNA, 200 nt
Filed under: Elaeis guineensis (African oil palm)
Lineage: Eukaryota; Viridiplantae; Streptophyta; Magnoliopsida; Arecales; Arecaceae
Description: long non-coding RNA (EGUI_LNC082370)
Source: RNAcentral
UCGACUUCAGCGGGAUCCCCAGAGGCAGGGGAAGUGCUUCGGUAGGGCGCUGCCAUUGGGAGACAAAAGUGUCAAGACACGUCUCAUCACAGAAAGAAAAGUAGAGAGAAGAAAGGAAGGAGGGAGAAGCCAUCCAUGCCAAGAAAUUCAACUUUAUUGAUUGGAUGAUUCUUGAAGACAAAAAGAAAAAGAAAAAUUAU